RNAcentral lists this ribosomal RNA (497 nucleotides) under uncultured bacterium. RNAcentral's name for it is "partial 16S ribosomal RNA". It matches the Rfam family "Bacterial small subunit ribosomal RNA", at positions 28 to 507 of the family's 1533-position model. The record is from RNAcentral.
GAUGAACGCUGGCGGCGUGCCUAAUACAUGCAAGUCGGGCGAACAGACGAGGAGCUUGCUCCUCUGACGUUAGCGGCGGACGGGUGAGUAACACGUGGAUAACCUACCUAUAAGACUGGGAUAACUUCGGGAAACCGGAGCUAAUACCGGAUAAUAUAUUGAACCGCAUGGUUCAAUAGUGAAAGACGGUUUUGCUGUCACUUAUAGAUGGAUCCGCGCCGCAUUAGCUAGUUGGUAAGGUAACGGCUUAUUAAGGCAACGAUGCGUAGCCGACCUGAGAGGGUGAUCGGCCGCCCUGGAACUGAGACACGGUCAAGACUACUACGGGAGGCAGCAGUCGGGAAUCUUACGCAAUGGGCGAGAGCUUGACGGAGCAACGCCGCGUGAGUGAUGAAGGUCUUCGGAUCGUAAAACUCUGUUAUUAGGGAAGAACAAAUGUGUAAGUAACUAUGCACGUCUUGACGGUACCUAAUCAGAAAGCCACGGCUAACUACGUG